This 440-nucleotide unclassified non-coding RNA is filed under the name Hevea brasiliensis (rubber tree). Lineage: Eukaryota; Viridiplantae; Streptophyta; Magnoliopsida; Malpighiales; Euphorbiaceae. The record is from RNAcentral.
AUGCAAUAAAUCAGCCACGCACACGGAAAAUGCUGGGUGAUUUGAAACAUUUGGAAAACAAAAAGCAGUGAUACAAGUCAGAAGGGCAUCUAAAGGACCAGAGCCACAAAUGAGUUCUAUUACUGAAACCAAGAGAAAGUCACUUGUGGCACCUAAGCCAAAGUGCAUUAGUACAGCAUGGAUGCAAACUCUCAUUGAAAGAUGCUGCCCUUGAUAAAUCACAGCUGCCUGGCACUAGAAUAAUCCUUAGGACUUAAAAUACAGAAUCAUGGACUAGAUAAAUAUUUGUUGUCAGGUGAUAAAAACUGACAAUAUUGACUGCAUAAGCGACUGAAAUAUUUACAAUUAUGAAUUAUGUAAUUUAAAAGACAGAAUUCACUAAGAAAAGCCAAUACACUCACACAAUUGAAAAUAAGAGGGGCUUAUGCAUUCACUAAAUU